CCCAAGGUUGCCUAUCCCUGGCCUAGGGCAAUAAGUGCUGUAACUGUGAACAGGAAAUAUUGGUUUAUUCCCAAAACUAGACAAUUGUCAAGAUUAAAUGCAAAGUAUACCCAAAAUAAAUUUAUUUAAAUUAUUUUUAUUCUUUUCCGUUCUUCACAAUUUCCAGUUAGGAAAAAAAAACUUGUAUAGUUUUCCCAUGUCUAACAAUCAACAAUUAAUUAAGAGAAUAUUUUUGCUUUCUAUUGUACAUUAGCUUUCUUGGACCCAAGCGGCAACCAUAUAUGGUCACAUCUAGCAGUAUUAUCCAGAAAUUCUGAACAGAAAGGGUUUAUUGGUGAUGUAGUUUUUGUGAGUUUGUGGUAUAUUAUCAGAAUUGCAAUGAAAAGCUUCAGCAGCAUAAGGAUUGGGUAAGCUACUGCUUGGUGUGGUACGAGUCCAAU
Molecule: non-coding RNA, 440 nt
Organism: Pelobates cultripes (western spadefoot toad)
Lineage: Eukaryota; Metazoa; Chordata; Amphibia; Anura; Pelobatidae
Source: the annotation of a GenBank genome assembly